AACGAACGUUGGCGGCGUGGAUUAGGCAUGCAAGUCGAGCGAAUCCCGAGGUGCUUGCACCGAGGGGGAAGCGGCGAAAGGGGCAGUAAGGCAUGGGUAACCUACCCUCUGAUUCGGAAUAGCCAUUCUAACGAGUGGGUAAUGCCGAAUGACGUCCAGAGCCUUGUGGGGCACUGGACCAAAGGUCCGCCGUCGGAGGAGGGGCUCAUGUGGUAUUAGCUAGCUGGUGGGGUAACGGCCUACCAGGGCGAAGAUGCCUAGCUGGUGUGAGAGCAUGACCAGCGCCACUGGCACUGAGACACUGGCCAGACUCCUACGGGAGGCUGCAGUCGAGAAUCUUCGGCAAUGGGCGCAAGCCUGACCGAGCGACGCCGCGUGUGCGAUGAAGGCCUUCGGGUUGUAAAGCACUGUCAGAGGGGAGUAAAGCGUAAGCUUGAACUAUCCUCAGAGGAAGCACGGGCUAAGUUCGUGCCAGCAGCCGCGGUAAGACGAACCGUGCGAACGUUGUUCGGAAUCACUGGGCUUAAAGGGCGCGUAGGCGGGCAUGUAGGCCCAGGGUGAAAUCCUCCGGCUCAACCGGAGAACUGCCUUGGAAACC
Molecule: ribosomal RNA, 598 nt
Filed under: uncultured bacterium
Lineage: Bacteria
Description: bacterial SSU rRNA
Rfam family: Bacterial small subunit ribosomal RNA
Source: RNAcentral